Octopus sinensis (East Asian common octopus) is the source of this 474-nucleotide long non-coding RNA. RefSeq lists it as uncharacterized. The transcript has 3 exons. Lineage: Eukaryota; Metazoa; Mollusca; Cephalopoda; Octopoda; Octopodidae. The record is from RefSeq and is a predicted model, not a curated record.
UUUCACUUCAACAUUUAAUUUUCAUUUUAAAAAAGAUAUCAUCAGAAAAAGGUAAAUUUAAAUUCAUUAAAAUGACACAUCUAUCAGACUUUCAAAGAGGUCAAAUUGUUGGUGCUCGUAUUGCAGGUGCUAGUGUAAAGAAAAACAGCUGAAAUGUUUGGUGUAUCAAGAAGUACUGUCUUGAAAGUAAUGACAGCCUUUGAGAAAGAGAGAAAAACAAAACUCUGGAAGAAAACCAAAACUUUCAGAUAGGGACCGUUGAACUUUUACACGAAUUGUCAGAAAGGACCACAAAAGUACAGCUCCCAAAAUAACUGCAGAGCUUAAUGACCACCUCAAGAACCUAGUUUCCACAAAAACUCUUCACCAGGAGCUGCACAAAACUGGAUUUCACAAGAGGGCAGCAAUCAGGAAACCACUACUUGCUAAAACAAACAUUGCAAAGCAUUUAGAGUGGAGUAAAAGCCUACAGAA